AUGGCGUUCCCCAUGGAGAUCCAAGCCAAAGCCUCCACCGCCACCUCCUCUGCUCCCGAGGCCCGAGCGUCCUCUCAUCCAGGAGCACGAGCCCCUCGUCAUCGCGCCGCCCUGGCGAGUGUGCUAGCCGGCAACCUCGCCGGACCACCAGAUGAACCAGGCCGCCCCUCUGCUCCCCUCCGUCAUCCCCUUUUUCCUUUCCUUCUCCCUCUCGCAUCUCUCUCUCUUUUGCUCCCAGGGACCGACGCCAUGGACGCCAUGCUCAAGAUCCACCUCGUCGCCGUUUUGCACCCGUCCCAGCCUGGAAACGGACGGAUCCGUCUUCCCCGUGUCUGUCCCCUACCUCUCCGCCUCGCCAGAGUCCAGCACAUCGCCGGCUGCGCCACCUCAGGACGAGCCCUGCCCCGCCAUGGAUGCUGCCAUGGACGCCGCCUUCCCACUCCCGGCGCCCCUUCCUCAACCCUGCCUGCAAGUCGCCUCCUCCUCGUCGUGUUGGAGGAGACGAACGCCUCGCAAGCCUCUGCCCGAACCACGCCGGCCCGCCGCUUCCCGUGCCUGCCUCUGCCUGCGUCCUCUGCUUCUUCCAGGACGAGGCACCCGCUCGCACGCGCGUUGACCAGCUCCAGCGCGUGGGUCGCGCCCAGCUCCACCAGAUCCAGCCAGCCCAGCAUCGCAAGGCCCGGCGCCCCUUCCAGCCGGCCUGCCAGGCCUCCUCCACCGAACGGGCUGAAGCCCAUGGUUGCAGGUACAGGUUAUGCAAUGAUCAUGAUGAUCAUGACGCGAGAGCGAUGCUUGCUUGCGUUGAGUUCUUCUUCUGCUUCUUCGAUCAGGGGAUAG
RNAcentral lists this ribosomal RNA (837 nucleotides) under Triticum aestivum (bread wheat). Its description in RNAcentral is "partial small subunit ribosomal RNA". The record is from RNAcentral. Lineage: Eukaryota; Viridiplantae; Streptophyta; Magnoliopsida; Poales; Poaceae.